AAAGGAUCCACCUGCUAACCCAGUGCUUUGCUAUGCAUCUGCAUGUACCAGCAUGGAGAACCUGAAGAGGAAUGUGGUUUUAGGCACUGAUCAUCAGCAACAACAGCAGCAAAAUAUUAAUCACAAACAAAAACUUAAAGGAGCCUGUCUAACUCAAAUCACAGCAUUUUUGGAAAUGUAAUGUUAUGGGAGCAGCCACUUCAGCGUAGAAGGAAGUUCUCCAGACUUCAAAGGGGACCUGGUUCAAGGCUAAAUGAAGUCACUAGUUGAAAUUCAAUGGACUUUUGAAUCAUGCCCUUCCUAAGUGAAAUGACACCAAGGAAUGUAAGAAAAGCAUGUAAUGUCAUCACUGUGCACUGCUUGGAGCACUCGCUCCUUUUUG
This 382-nucleotide long non-coding RNA is filed under the name Numida meleagris (helmeted guineafowl). Its description in RNAcentral is "lncRNA (ENSNMEG00000001711.1)". The record is from RNAcentral. Lineage: Eukaryota; Metazoa; Chordata; Aves; Galliformes; Numididae.